GAGUUUGAUCAUGGCUCAGGAUGAACGCUAGCGGCAGGCUUAAUACAUGCAAGUCGAGGGCAUCAGCUUAUAGCAAUAUAGGGCUGGCGACCGGCAAACGGGUGCGGAACACGUACACAACCUUCCUUUAAGAGGGGAUAGCCCGAUAGAAAUGUGGGUUAAUACCCCGUAAGAUAGUGGGAUGGCAUCAGUACUACGUAUUAUAGUUACGACGCUUGAAGAUGGGUGUGCGUCUGAUUAGGUAGUUGGCGGGGUAAAGGCCCACCAAGCCUUCGAUCAGUAGCUGGAUG
This 290-nucleotide ribosomal RNA is filed under the name uncultured microorganism. RNAcentral describes it as "partial 16S ribosomal RNA". It matches the Rfam family "Bacterial small subunit ribosomal RNA", at positions 9 to 293 of the family's 1533-position model. The record is from RNAcentral.